CCAAUAAGCGCCCCGAUUGCAGCACAUUGGCGAUAAUCAUCGGCUUAAAUACAUUGAGCUCAAACUGACCAUUGCU
Molecule: transfer RNA, 76 nt
Filed under: Shewanella putrefaciens
Lineage: Bacteria; Pseudomonadati; Pseudomonadota; Gammaproteobacteria; Alteromonadales; Shewanellaceae
Description: tRNA-Lys
Source: RNAcentral